Molecule: ribosomal RNA, 746 nt
Filed under: Streptomyces afghaniensis
Lineage: Bacteria; Bacillati; Actinomycetota; Actinomycetes; Kitasatosporales; Streptomycetaceae
Description: bacterial SSU rRNA
Rfam family: Bacterial small subunit ribosomal RNA
Source: RNAcentral
AACGGGUGAGUAACACGUGGGCAAUCUGCCCUGCACUCUGGGACAAGCCCUGGAAACGGGGUCUAAUACCGGAUACAACCACUAGGGGCAUCUCUUGGUGGUGGAAAGCUCCGGCGGUGCAGGAUGAGCCCGCGGCCUAUCAGCUUGUUGGUGAGGUAAUGGCUCACCAAGGCGACGACGGGUAGCCGGCCUGAGAGGGCGACCGGCCACACUGGGACUGAGACACGGCCCAGACUCCUACGGGAGGCAGCAGUGGGGAAUAUUGCACAAUGGGCGAAAGCCUGAUGCAGCGACGCCGCGUGAGGGAUGACGGCCUUCGGGUUGUAAACCUCUUUCAGCAGGGAAGAAGCGAAAGUGACGGUACCUGCAGAAGAAGCGCCGGCUAACUACGUGCCAGCAGCCGCGGUAAUACGUAGGGCGCGAGCGUUGUCCGGAAUUAUUGGGCGUAAAGAGCUCGUAGGCGGCUUGUCACGUCGGUUGUGAAAGCCCGGGGCUUAACCCCGGGUCUGCAGUCGAUACGGGCAGGCUAGAGUUCGGUAGGGGAGAUCGGAAUUCCUGGUGUAGCGGUGAAAUGCGCAGAUAUCAGGAGGAACACCGGUGGCGAAGGCGGAUCUCUGGGCCGAUACUGACGCUGAGGAGCGAAAGCGUGGGGAGCGAACAGGAUUAGAUACCCUGGUAGUCCACGCCGUAAACGGUGGGCACUAGGUGUGGGCAACAUUCCCACGUUGUCCGUGCCGCAGCCUAAC